CCUACGGGUGGCAGCAGUGAGGAAUAUUGGUCAAUGGACGAGAGUCUGAACCAGCCAAGUAGCGUGAAGGAUGACUGCCCUAUGGGUUGUAAACUUCUUUUAUCAAGGAAUAAAGUGAUGCACGUGUGGCUUUUUGUAUGUACCUUAUGAAUAAGGAUCGGCUAACUCCGUGCCAGCAGCCGCGGUAAUACGGAGGAUCCGAGCGUUAUCCGGAUUUAUUGGGGUUAAAGGGGUCGUAGGUGGGUUGUUAAGUCAGUUGGGAAAGUUUGCGGCUCAACCGUAAAAUUGCAAUUGAUACUGGCAGUCUUGAGUACAGUUGAGGUAGGCGGAAUUCGUGGUGUAGCGGUGAAAUGCUUAGAUAUCACGAAGAACUCCGAUUGCGAAGGCAGCUUACUAGACUGCCACUGACAUUGAUGCUCGAAAGUGUGGGUAUCAAACAGGAUUAGAUACCCUUGUAGUC
RNAcentral lists this ribosomal RNA (460 nucleotides) under uncultured bacterium. Its description in RNAcentral is "partial 16S ribosomal RNA". It matches the Rfam family "Bacterial small subunit ribosomal RNA", at positions 338 to 795 of the family's 1533-position model. The record is from RNAcentral.